RNAcentral lists this ribosomal RNA (516 nucleotides) under Chaetomium sp. 6-14p. RNAcentral describes it as "eukaryotic LSU rRNA". The stretch from base 148 to 301 matches the Rfam family "5.8S ribosomal RNA". Lineage: Eukaryota; Fungi; Ascomycota; Sordariomycetes; Sordariales; Chaetomiaceae. The record is from RNAcentral.
ACCAUUGUGAACGUUACCUAAACCGUUGCUUCGGCGGGCGGCCCGGGUCCUUCCCGGCGCCCCUCGGCCCUCGCGGGCGCCCGCCGGAGGUAAACCAAACUAUUGCAUUGUAUGGCCUCUCUGAGUCUUCUGUACUGAAUAAGUCAAAACUUUCAACAACGGAUCUCUUGGUUCUGGCAUCGAUGAAGAACGCAGCGAAAUGCGAUAAGUAAUGUGAAUUGCAGAAUUCAGUGAAUCAUCGAAUCUUUGAACGCACAUUGCGCCCGCCAGUAUUCUGGCGGGCAUGCCUGUUCGAGCGUCAUUUCAACCAUCAAGCCCCGGGCUUGUGUUGGGGACCUGCGGCUGCCGCAGGCCCUGAAAUGCAGUGGCGGGCUCGCUGUCACUCCGAGCGUAGUAGUUACAUCUCGCUCUGGGCGUGCUGCGGGUUCCGGCCGUUAAAAGCCUUAUUUACCCAAGGUUGACCUCGGAUCAGGUAGGAAGACCCGCUGAACUUAAGCAUAUCAAUAAGCGGAGGAA